Molecule: long non-coding RNA, 3073 nt
Filed under: Mus musculus (house mouse)
Lineage: Eukaryota; Metazoa; Chordata; Mammalia; Rodentia; Muridae
Description: long non-coding RNA chr4:25908466-25911539
Source: RNAcentral
AAGCUUUAUGUGUGUGUGUGUAUUUAUGUAAAUGUGUCUGACUGUUCCGGUGUAUGUGUCAAUAUCUGUGUGUCUGUGCUCACAUGUAUUUGAAUGAAGUUAGUCUACCUGUCUAUUCUUUAAGAAAGAAUACAUUUUGGACACAGGGUUUUGAGGAGUCAGCUGGAACUGACUUGAAAACCUCCCCUCUGACUAGUUCUUUUGUUUGGUGGGUUGGUUGGUUUCUGGAUUUUCAAGACAAGGUUUCACUAUAUAGCACAGGUUGUCCUGGAACUUUUCUGUAGACUAGGCUGGCCUUGAAUUCAGAGAUCUGCCUCCUCUGCCUCCUGGGUGCUUGGUUUAAAUAUUUCUACCACCAAUCCUAUCUGGUGGGACCCAAAAAGACUACCAGCCUUGAAGUAUCCCCUGUCCACUCUCAGCCCUAUCUUCUAGUCCAUACCUCUAUCCACAAUCCUAGGCAUCUGCCAUCAUUAGCAAAUGCCACCUGAGAAAACCAUUCCAAUUCCUUGCCUGAUAUCCCCUUUGGUCAAACCUAAACUCAGCAGUUUAAACUCUGUCCCGCUGUCUCUGCACUCAAUUUCUUGGGUCACAGCUCCACAAAAUUGAAAAAUCUAUAUGAGAUGGAUGAUUUUCUAGAUGGAUACCACUUGCCAAAGUUAAAACAAGAUUAAAUAAACUAUGUAAAUAGACCUAUAUAACCCCUAAGGAAAUAGAAGCAGCCAUUGAAAGUCUCCCAAAACCCCUCCUCCCUCUCCCUAAAAUUGCUUAGGGACAGAUAGUUUUACCACAUAAUUUCACCAGACUUUCAGAGGAGAGCUAAUACCAAUACUCCUCAAACUAUUCCACAAAAUAGAAACAGAAAGAACACUGUCAAACUCAUACUGAGCUACCGUUAUCUAAACUACACAAAGACUCAACAACAACAAUAACAACAAAAUUUCAGAUCAUUUUCUCUCAUCAAUAUUGAUACAAAAAUAGUCAGUGAAAACCAAAUUCAAGAACACACCAAUAACAUCAUUCUCAUGAUCAAGGGGGCUUCAUCCCAGGGAUGGAGGAGUGGUCCAACAUAUUAAAAUCCAUCAACCUAACAGACAAUAUAAAUAAACUGAAUGAAAGAACUACAUAAUCAUAGGAUUCUGAAACUACUUUGGACAAAAUCCAACAACCUUUCAUGUUAAAACUCUUAGAGAGAUCGGGAUACAAGACACAUAUUUAAACACUAAAAAGGCAAUACACAGGAAGCUGAUACCCAACAUCAGAUUAAAUGUAAGUAACUUAAAGCAAUUUCAGUAAAAUUAGGGACAAGUCUGCUCAUUCUCUUCCUUUCUCUUCAACAUAAUACUUGAAGCCUUUGCUAGAGCAACAAGACAAUUACAGGAGAUCAAGCUGAUACAAAUUGGAAAGGAAGAUGUUAAAGUAUUGCUAUUUGCAGAUGAUGUAAUAGUAUACAUAAGUGACCCACAAAAUUCUACCAGAGAUCUACAGCUGAUAAAUACCUUCAGUAAGGUGGCUGGGUGCAAAUUUAAUUAAAAAAAAUAAAAAAUUCAGAAUCCCUUCAUUAUACAAACAAUAAGUGAGCUGAAAGAGAAAUUAGGUAGAUAAUACCAUUCACAAUAGCUACAAAUAAUAUUACAUAUCUUGGUGUAAUUCUAACCAAGCAAUUGAAAGACCCAUAUGACAAGAACUUCAAAUCUCUGAAAUUCUCAAAAACUGAAGAAAUUAAAUAAAAAUUCUAUAAUCUUUUGCUUCUUUAAGGGCAGAUUUUUCUGAAACUUUAACACAUACACAGAAGUCUCUGCUAUCUCAGGGUGUAAAAGUAACUUUUAUUCCCCUAAUGUAAUUGUCAUCUCAGAGGCUUAUUGCUGAAUAAGCUCACCCUUUCCAGCUCUUUCUCAAUCUGCCUGGGUGGUUCAACCCAGCUUGUUUUGGCUCAAACUCCUUCCUAAGCUGACUGAUUCAGUCUGGUUUCUCUCAGCUUCUCACUGAAUUGCUCUACUUGGCUGCAAACUAUCUCUAUCAAUCUGUUGUAAUCUUCUGGCUCCUUCUUAUUAUUCUCUGACUUCAACUGCCUCUACUGCACAAACUGAAUGGAACCGAACUCAACUCCACUGCACUGCUUCCUGUGCUCACUGAACUGAAUUCCACUUCACCUUCAAUUCUCAUUGCCUCCUUCUACAAUCUAGCCUUGCUUACAUUUCUUGGGAUUAAAGGUGCAUACUAAGGGCGAGUUUGUAGUGCAGCCAGAUGGAUUAAACAUAUGUGGCAUGUCAUUCCAGCUGUGUCACAUAGACCUACCUAGAAGGUAUUUGGAUGUGAUCAGUGUCUAUACAGUUCUGCGUCAGGUCCUGUUCACAUAUAUUAUAACUAUUAACUUAGUAUUUUUAUGGGACUCCAGACUGGGAGAGAGUGGAUCUCUGAAUCUUGUGCUUGCAUUUGGAUCACUUAUCCUUCUGUUACAUUGCCAUGUUUAACUUCGAUAUGAUGGUUUUUCCUCCAUAUUAGUAUAUUUUAUUUUGUCUUGCUUGGUUACUAUAUGUUAGAAGACUGUUCUUGAAGAGGAGGUAGGGGGGAACCGGGAGGAGUAGAGGGAAAGGGGACUAUAAUCAGAAUAUAUGCGAAAAGAAAAGAAUGAGAAAGUUAUCUAUUUUCAAAAAUGAUGUCUCAGGUAUCAAAGCAAAACCUGAUUGCUUAUGACUUCACAAGGAAUUCUCUCCUAUCUCUCACUUAGAAUACACAGGCUACAUACACCAACACAUAUGGUUGUUGAGGGAAACCUACAUCCAUGCCAGCUAACAAGCUACUCUAUAUUUGCCUUUAGCUCUAUGUAUCUGCACUCAAGGCUUCACUUUCAAAUUUCUAAAUUUCCAAGGUACAAACUAGCAAUUAUCUGCUUAAUUUCUUUUAUCACUAGUUACCACCACAACCCAUAUUUUAUUUUAUUUUUACAUAAUAUUUUUAUUGAUUAUUUAGGAAUUUCAUAUCAUGAUUUCUGGGCACACUCACUUUCUUGUCCUCCCAGGUCUGCCCCUACACCCUUGUGACCGCCACACUGGAAAAACAAAAACAAAACAAA